AGAGUUUGAUCCUGGCUCAGAACGAACGCUGGCGGCAGGCUUAACACAUGCAAGUCGAGCGAACCGAGGGACUUCGGUCUUGAGGCUAGCGGCGGACGGGUGAGUAACGCGUGGGAACGUGCCCUUAGGUACGGAACAACAGUUGGAAACGACUGCUAAUACCGUAUGAUCCUCCUCGAUAGCGAUAUUGGGGAGGCAAAGAUUUAUCGCCUAGGGAUCGGCCCGCGUUGGAUUAGGUAGUUGGUGGGGUAAUGGCCUACCAAGCCGACGAUCCAUAGCUGGUUUGAGAGGAUGAUCAGCCACACUGGGACUGAGACACGGCCCAGACUCCUACGGGAGGCAGCAGUGGGGAAUCUUGGACAAUGGGGGCAACCCUGAUCCAGCCAUGCCGCGUGAGCGAUGAAGGCCUUAGGGUUGUAAAGCUCUUUCACCGGUGAAGAUAAUGACGGUAGCCGGAGAAGAAGCCCCGGCUAACUCCGUGCCAGCAGCCGCGGUAAUACGGAGGGGGCUAGCGUUGUUCGGAAUUACUGGGCGUAAAGCGCGCGUAGGCGGAUUGUUAAGUCGGGGGUGAAAUCCCGGGGCUCAACCCCGGAACUGCCUCCGAUACUGGCAAUCUUGAGGUCGAGAGAGGUGAGUGGAAUUCCGAGUGUAGAGGUGAAAUUCGUAGAUAUUCGGAGGACACCAGUGGCGAAGGCGGCU
This 699-nucleotide ribosomal RNA is filed under the name uncultured bacterium. RNAcentral's name for it is "bacterial SSU rRNA". It matches the Rfam family "Bacterial small subunit ribosomal RNA", at positions 8 to 726 of the family's 1533-position model. The record is from RNAcentral.